UCUUUGUCUGUCUGCUGGAGUUCAUGCUGAGAUCAUGCAGAGUGAAGCCACCAAGACUUUAUGCGGACUGCUGCGAAUGUUAGUGGAAAGCGGAACGACGGACAAGACAUACCGGAGCUGGUGCACGCUGGGGUUUGUGCAGAGCAUCGCUCUCACGCUGCAGGUGUGCGGCGCCCUCAGCUCCCCGCAGUGGAUCACGCUGCUCAUGAAGGUUGUGGAAGGGCACGCACCCUUCACUGCCACCUCGCUGCAGAGGCAGAUCUUAGCUGUGCAUUUGUUGCAAGCAGUCCUUCCGUCAUGGGACAAGACCGAAAGGGUGAGGGACAUGAAAUGCCUCAUGGAGAAGCUGUUUGACUUCUUGGGGAGCUUGCUCACUAUGUGCUCCUCUGACCUGGUGAAGAGCGGUGCAGUGCCGUCACUCAGAGGUGGGUGGCCGUCUCCCUUCCCUGUGUCCUGGUGAAGAGCGGUGCAGUGCCGUCACUCAGAGGUGGGUGGCCGUCUCCCUUCCCUGUACCCUGGUGAAGAGCGGUGCAGUGCCGUCACUCAGAGGUGGGUGGCCGUCUCCCUUCCCUGUGUCCUGGUGAAGAGCCGUGUAGUGCCGUCACUCAGAGUCGCUGACUGCCACCCACAGCAGCACACUGGCGGAGGAGGUGGUGGCACUGCUGCACACGCUGCACUCCCUGACUCGGUGGAAUGGGCUCAUCAACAAGUACAUCAACUCCCAGCUCCGCUCCAUCACCCACAGCUUUGCGGGAAGGCCUUCCAAAGGGGCCCAGUUAGAUGACUACUUCCCUGAUUCCGAGAACCCUGAAGUGGGGGGCCUCAUGGCGGUCCUGGCUGUGGUCUCUGACAUGCGGACGUGUCGCGUUUGCCCAUUGAAUCAGCUGAAACCAAGUUUGCCUUCCAGGAAGCUGUGCGAGCUUGUGCUUCUGUGCUCCCUGCCGUGGCCUUUAAUGUGAACAACCUGCCCUUCACAGAG
This 979-nucleotide long non-coding RNA is filed under the name Homo sapiens (human). RNAcentral describes it as "non-protein coding lnc-GOLGA6L22-3:3". Lineage: Eukaryota; Metazoa; Chordata; Mammalia; Primates; Hominidae. The record is from RNAcentral.